AUGGCAUGCAUUUCGAAGACCAUGAGUUCGAGGUGGACGAGGAGGGUGAGGGCAUUGUCGACGCGCCGAAAGGAAGAGCGGGAAAUUACACCAACGCCGAUGACAUCUUACUAUGCAAUACUUGGUUGCAAGUGUCGAGGGAUCCAUCCGUUGGAGGUGAUCAAAGUAGAGAUGCUUAUUGGGGGCGGAUGA
This 192-nucleotide ribosomal RNA is filed under the name Triticum aestivum (bread wheat). Its description in RNAcentral is "partial small subunit ribosomal RNA". The record is from RNAcentral. Lineage: Eukaryota; Viridiplantae; Streptophyta; Magnoliopsida; Poales; Poaceae.